GCUAAUGUAGCUUAAACUAAAGCGUAACACUGAAGAUGUUGAGAUAGUCCCUAGAAAGACCCAUAAGCA
Molecule: transfer RNA, 69 nt
Filed under: Opisthoproctus soleatus (barrel-eye)
Lineage: Eukaryota; Metazoa; Chordata; Actinopteri; Argentiniformes; Opisthoproctidae
Description: tRNA-Phe
Rfam family: tRNA
About the family: Transfer RNA (tRNA) molecules are approximately 80 nucleotides in length. Their secondary structure includes four short double-helical elements and three loops (D, anti-codon, and T loops).
Source: RNAcentral